RNAcentral lists this ribosomal RNA (32 nucleotides) under Beauveria bassiana. RNAcentral describes it as "partial 28S ribosomal RNA". Lineage: Eukaryota; Fungi; Ascomycota; Sordariomycetes; Hypocreales; Cordycipitaceae. The record is from RNAcentral.
CUGAACUUAAGCAUAUCAAAAGCCGGAGGAAA